RNAcentral lists this ribosomal RNA (431 nucleotides) under uncultured bacterium. Its description in RNAcentral is "bacterial SSU rRNA". It matches the Rfam family "Bacterial small subunit ribosomal RNA", at positions 346 to 796 of the family's 1533-position model. The record is from RNAcentral.
AGGCAGCAGUUAGGAAUCUUCCGCAAUGGGCGAAAGCCUGACGGAACGAUACCGCUUGAAGGACGAAGCCCUUCGGGGUGUAAACUUCUGAACUCGGGACGAUAAUGACGGUACCGAGGUAAUAGCACAGGCUAACUCCGUGCCAGCAGCCGCGGUAAUACGGAGGGUGCGAGCGUUACCCGGAUUUACUGGGUGUAAAGGGCGUGUAGGCGGUCUCUCAAGUCCGAUGCUAAAGACCGAAGCUCAACUUCGGGGGUGCGUUGGGUACUGUGAGGCUAGACGGUCGGAGAGGGUAGCGGAAUUUCCGGAGUAGCGGUGAAAUGCGCAGAUACCGGAAGGAACGCCAAUAGCGAAAGCAGCUACCUGGACGAUUUGUGACGCUGAGGCGCGAAAGCGUGGGGAGCAAACCGGAUUAGAUACCCUAGUAGUCC